RNAcentral lists this ribosomal RNA (426 nucleotides) under uncultured bacterium. RNAcentral describes it as "partial 16S ribosomal RNA". It matches the Rfam family "Bacterial small subunit ribosomal RNA", at positions 354 to 796 of the family's 1533-position model. The record is from RNAcentral.
GUGGGGAAUAUUGCACAAUGGGGGAAACCCUGAUGCAGCGACGCCGCGUGAGCGAAGAAGUAUUUCGGUAUGUAAAGCUCUAUCAGCAGGGAAGAAGAAUGACGGUACCUGACUAAGAAGCACCGGCUAAAUACGUGCCAGCAGCCGCGGUAAUACGUAUGGUGCAAGCGUUAUCCGGAUUUACUGGGUGUAAAGGGAGCGCAGGCGGUGCGGCAAGUCUGAUGUGAAAGCCCGGGGCUCAACCCCGGUACUGCAUUGGAAACUGUCGUACUAGAGUGUCGGAGGGGUAAGUGGAAUUCCUAGUGUAGCGGUGAAAUGCGUAGAUAUUAGGAGGAACACCAGUGGCGAAGGCGGCUUACUGGACGAUAACUGACGCUGAGGCUCGAAAGCGUGGGGAGCAAACAGGAUUAGAAACCCUAGUAGUCC